UGCCCAGGGAUGGGAAUCGAACCCACAGUGUUCCGAUUACCGGGCAGAUGCCAUGUCCACUAGGCUACCCUGGAC
RNAcentral lists this transfer RNA (75 nucleotides) under Cordylochernes scorpioides. RNAcentral's name for it is "tRNA-Thr". The record is from RNAcentral. Lineage: Eukaryota; Metazoa; Arthropoda; Arachnida; Pseudoscorpiones; Chernetidae.